CCCGUGUAUGGACAGAUAGCUCAAACAGAGCUAUUCAAACAGAUGCCUAUGGCACAGAUAAAAGCUGCACUGUUGGUGGGUCACAGCCUCUGCCUCUGUGUGAGGCUGCAUUUCAGUUCCGCCAGCACAGACCUCAGGAGUGCUUAAAGCAGGCCACUGCACUGUCGAAGAGUUUGCUCCAAGAACCAACGUCGUGCAACGGUUCUGCCACGGUCACUCAAAGUCCAUCGUGGAAAUGUGAGAGCGCAGCAGAACACGCU
Molecule: long non-coding RNA, 260 nt
Filed under: Numida meleagris (helmeted guineafowl)
Lineage: Eukaryota; Metazoa; Chordata; Aves; Galliformes; Numididae
Description: lncRNA (ENSNMEG00000015154.1)
Source: RNAcentral